UACGUAGGCGGAAAAUUAAGUCAGUAGUGAAAUCCUGCAGCUUAACUGUAGAACUGUUAUUGAUACUGGUUUUCUUGAAUUUAGUUGAAGUAGGCGGAAUGUGUAAUGUAGCGGUGAAAUGCUUAGAUAUUACACAGAACACCGAUUGCGAAGGCAGCUUACUAAGCUAUGAUUGACGCUGAGGUACGAAAGCGUGGGGAGCGAACAGGAUUAGAUACCCUGGUAGUCC
Molecule: ribosomal RNA, 229 nt
Filed under: uncultured bacterium
Lineage: Bacteria
Description: partial 16S ribosomal RNA
Rfam family: Bacterial small subunit ribosomal RNA
Source: RNAcentral